AUUGAACGCUGGCGGCAUGCCUUACACAUGCAAGUCGAACGGCAGCGCGGGGGCGAACCCUGGCGGCGAGUGGCGAACGGGCGAGUAAUAUAUCGGAACGUACCCAAGAGUGGGGGAUAACGUAGCGAAAGUUACGCUAAUACCGCAUACGAUCUAAGGAUGAAAGCAGGGGACCGCAAGGCCUUGUGCUCCUGGAGCGGCCGAUAUCUGAUUAGCUAGUUGGUGGGGGUAAAGGCCCUACCAAGGCAUCGAUCAGUAGCUGGUCUGAGAGGACGACCAGCCACACUGGGACUGAGACACGGCCCAGACUCCUACGGGAGGCAGCAGUGGGGAAUUUUGGACAAUGGGGGCAACCCUGAUCCAGCAAUGCCGCGUGAGUGAAGAAGGCCUUCGGGUU
RNAcentral lists this ribosomal RNA (397 nucleotides) under uncultured bacterium. RNAcentral describes it as "bacterial SSU rRNA". It matches the Rfam family "Bacterial small subunit ribosomal RNA", at positions 29 to 424 of the family's 1533-position model. The record is from RNAcentral.